CCUACGGGAGGCAGCAGUAAGGAAUAUUGGUCAAUGGACGAAAGUCUGAACCAGCCAUGCCGCGUGAAGGAUGACGGCCCUCUGGGUUGUAAACUUCUUUUAUCUGGGACGAAAAAACGGGAAUUCUUUCUCACUUGACGGUACCAGAGGAAUAAGCACCGGCUAACUCCGUGCCAGCAGCCGCGGUAAUACGGAGGGUGCAAGCGUUAUCCGGAUUCACUGGGUUUAAACGGGAGCGUAGGUGGGCAGGUAAGUCAGUGGUGAAAUCUCCGGGCUUAACCCGGAAACUGCCAUUGAUACUAUUUGUCUUGAAUUAUCUGGAGGUAAGCGGAAUAUGUCAUGUAGCGGUGAAAUGCUUAGAUAUGACAUAGAACACCCAUUGCGAAGGCAGCUUACUACGGAUAUAUUGACACUGAGGCUCGAAAGCGUGGGGAUCAAACAGGAUUAGAUACCCUGGUAGUCCACGCCCUAAACCGAUGGAUACUCGACAUCAGCGAUACACUGUUGGUGUUNUGAGACGAAGACAUAGUAUCCACCGUACGGAGUACGACGCGAGUAGAACGUACGAAGAGUAGUAGACGNGAGAGACGACGACGACGACGACGGAGGAGGAG
This 614-nucleotide ribosomal RNA is filed under the name uncultured bacterium. Its description in RNAcentral is "bacterial SSU rRNA". The stretch from base 1 to 537 matches the Rfam family "Bacterial small subunit ribosomal RNA", at positions 338 to 873 of the family's 1533-position model. The record is from RNAcentral.